RNAcentral lists this ribosomal RNA (490 nucleotides) under uncultured bacterium. RNAcentral's name for it is "partial 16S ribosomal RNA". It matches the Rfam family "Bacterial small subunit ribosomal RNA", at positions 30 to 507 of the family's 1533-position model. The record is from RNAcentral.
AUUGAACGCUGGCGGCAGGCCUAACACAUGCCAGUCGAACGGUAACAGGAAGCAGCUUGCUGCUUUGCUGACGAGUGGCAGACGGGUGAGUAAUGUCUGGGAAACUGCCUGAUGGAGGGGGAUAACUACUGGAAACGGUAGCUAAUACCGCAUAACGUCGCAAGACCAAAGAGGGGGACCUUAGGGCCUCUUGCCAUCGGAUGUGCCCAGAUGGGAUUAGCUAGUAGGUGGGGUAACGGCUCACCUAGGCGACGAUCCCUAGCUGGUCUGAGAGGAUGACCAGCCACACUGGAACUGAGACACGGUCCAGACUCCUACGGGAGGCAGCAGUGGGGAAUAUUGCACAAUGGGCGCAAGCCUGAUGCAGCCAUGCCGCGUGUAUGAAGAAGGCCUUCGGGUUGUAAAGUACUUUCAGCGGGGAGGAAGGGAGUAAAGUUAAUACCUUUGCUCAUUGACGUUACCCGCAGAAGAAGCACCGGCUAACUCCGUG